CAAUAGCGUAUAUUUAAGUUGUUGCAGUUAAAAAGCUCGUAGUCGGAUUUUGGCUGAGAACGAUCGGUCCGCCGUUAGGUGUGCACUGAUUGGUCUCAGCUUCCUGGUGAGGAGGUGUGCUUCACGGCCACUUAGUCACCGUGGUUACUUCGAAAAAAUUAGAGUGUUCAAAGCGGGCUUACGCUUGAAUAUAUUAGCAUGGAAUAACACCAUAGGACUCCUGUCCUAUUUCGUUGGUCUCGGGACGGGAGUAAUGAUUAAGAGGAACAGUUGGGGGCAUUCGUAUUUCAUUGUCAGAGGUGAAAUUCUUGGAUUUAUGAAAGACGAACUUCUGCGAAAGCAUUUGCCAAGGAUGUUUUCAUUGA
This 365-nucleotide ribosomal RNA is filed under the name uncultured eukaryote. RNAcentral describes it as "partial 18S ribosomal RNA". It matches the Rfam family "Eukaryotic small subunit ribosomal RNA", at positions 592 to 976 of the family's 1831-position model. The record is from RNAcentral.